Molecule: non-coding RNA, 214 nt
Filed under: Rhizobium sp.
Lineage: Bacteria; Pseudomonadati; Pseudomonadota; Alphaproteobacteria; Hyphomicrobiales; Rhizobiaceae
Also listed under: 1 other name
Source: RNAcentral
ACUAUAUAUAGUGUUCGAGGUUCCCUCGAUUCGGUUUCGGAUCAGGGGCUAAGAUGGGAAUUCGGUAGCGGGCAUGAUGUCCGUGAAGCCGAGGCUGCCCCCGCAACUGUGAACGGUGAGCGCUGGUUCAAUUUAGCCACUGGGUUUUCCUGGGAAGGCGGAACAAGUGCUGCGACCCGUGAGCCAGGAGACCUGCCUUGAUCGAAACGUCCGC